GUAUAAGGAAUUCAGAUUGAAUGUUUUUGAUGGAGGAUUAAACUUUGACAUUUUCUUUUCUUUCAGGUUAGGUGCCAGCAUGAUUUGGCAGUAAGACCUCACUACAUCGCCAAGCACGAGUGGACCAGCAAGGGUGUUAGUGACCAAGGGAUCAUGGGUCUUUAGUGUUCUACUAAAGAAAGACCAAAUAAUGACUGAAUUUAUAAAA
Long non-coding RNA from Labeo rohita (rohu), 208 nucleotides. RefSeq lists it as uncharacterized. NCBI's taxonomy places the organism in Eukaryota, Metazoa, Chordata, Actinopteri, Cypriniformes, Cyprinidae. The transcript has 3 exons. The record is from RefSeq and is a predicted model, not a curated record.